GAUGUUGGUUAAGUCCGCAACGAGCGCAACCCUCGACCCUUAGUUGCCAGCAUUCAGUUGGGCACUCUAAGGUGACUGCCGGCUAAAAGUCGGAGGAAGGUGGGGAGUGACGUCAAAUCAUCAUGCCCUUAUGACCUGGGCUACACACGUGCUACAAUGGGCGGUACAAAGGGUCGCGAACCCGCGAGGGGGAGCCAAUCCCAAAAAGCCGCUCUCAUUCGGAUUGCAGGCUGCAACUCGCCUGCAUGAAGCCGGAAUCGCCAGUAAUCGCGGAUCAGCAUGCCGCGGUGAAUACGUUCCCGGGCCUU
This 308-nucleotide ribosomal RNA is filed under the name uncultured Anoxybacillus sp. RNAcentral describes it as "bacterial SSU rRNA". It matches the Rfam family "Bacterial small subunit ribosomal RNA", at positions 1071 to 1382 of the family's 1533-position model. Lineage: Bacteria; Bacillati; Bacillota; Bacilli; Caryophanales; Anoxybacillaceae. The record is from RNAcentral.